Molecule: transfer RNA, 85 nt
Filed under: Felis catus (domestic cat)
Lineage: Eukaryota; Metazoa; Chordata; Mammalia; Carnivora; Felidae
Rfam family: tRNA
About the family: Transfer RNA (tRNA) molecules are approximately 80 nucleotides in length. Their secondary structure includes four short double-helical elements and three loops (D, anti-codon, and T loops).
Source: Rfam by way of RNAcentral
GCCUGGGCCGCUCAGUCGGUUGAGCGUCUGACUUCCGCUCAGGUCAUGAUCCUGCAGUUCGUGGGUUCAAGCCCCGCGUCGGGCU